GUCAGCAGGCCGCACACGCGCCGGACCGGGUACCGCUGUGCCCGGCCUGGCCGCGGCCUAGUCCCGGCAGACGGGACUGACGAGGUCACCAAGCCCAGGCCGAGACGGCGCGGGUGUCAGGGACUUGGGAAUCCCCCUCCCCCAGUCCCGAUCCCGCUUUCCUUUGGGGUUUCACCUCAGAGGACCCGACAGCACUCUUGCAGUUUCCUCAUCCUCAAGAUGGACUGCACCUUCUGGCAUCUCAAGUGGUUCUUGUGAAGAUUAAAUGAAUCCAUCAGGCCGGGUGCGGUGGCUCACGCCUGUAAUCCCAGCACUUUGGGAGGCCGAGACGAGCGCAUCACCUGAGGUCAGGAGUUCCAGACCAGCCUGGCCAACAAGACCUCCCCACAGAGUUGACGCUCUGGAAAGAAAAGCCAGGCUUUUCUCUGAGGUUUUGCAUCUCCUUGGCCAAUGUGCUCAUGCCAGAGAAGAGCAGUGCAUGGCCAGUUUGAGGAGCACGGCCAUGUGACCUUGGACAGCCCCUGCCUCUCUCUAGGACUCACUCCCGGUCCCUAACCUCAGCUCUCUGAUCUGUACCACAAGGAGCUGCCACUAACACCUGUGUCAGAACUACUGUAAGGACCCUUUCCUCCUGCGAGAGGAGAACAGUGCUAAACCUGUCUGAACGUGAUAGACAUGCUACAAACUGCCAACCCUUUAGGCUAUAAACUGCUCACACAUGGGCCAAGUGUCACUCUCA
RNAcentral lists this long non-coding RNA (739 nucleotides) under Homo sapiens (human). RNAcentral's name for it is "HSALNT0363422". The record is from RNAcentral. Lineage: Eukaryota; Metazoa; Chordata; Mammalia; Primates; Hominidae.